UGGGGAAUAUUGCACAAUGGGCGGAAGCCUGAUGCAGCGACGCCGCGUGGGGGAUGAAGGCCUUCGAGUUGUAAACUCCUUUCGACAGGGACGAAGCGUAAGUGACGGUACCUGUAUAAGAAGCACCGGCUAACUACGUGCCAGCAGCCGCGGUAAUACGUAGGGUGCGAGCGUUGUCCGGAAUUACUGGGCGUAAAGAGCUCGUAGGUGGUUUGUCGCGUCGUCUGUGAAAUUCCGGGGCUUAACUCCGGGCGUGCAGGCGAUACGGGCUGACUUGAGUGCUGUAGGGGAGACUGGAAUUCCUGGUGUAGCGGUGAAAUGCGCAGAUAUCAGGAGGAAUACCGAUGGCGAAGGCAGGUCUCUGGGCAGUAACUGACGCUGAGGAGCGAAAGCAUGGGUAGCGAACAGGAUUAGAUACCCUGGUAGUCCAUGCCGUAAACGGUGGGCGCUAGGUGUAGGGGGCUUCCACGUCUUCUGUGCCGUAGCUAACGCAUUAAGCGCCCCGCCUGGGGAGUACGGCCGCAAGGCUA
RNAcentral lists this ribosomal RNA (530 nucleotides) under uncultured bacterium. Its description in RNAcentral is "bacterial SSU rRNA". It matches the Rfam family "Bacterial small subunit ribosomal RNA", at positions 355 to 896 of the family's 1533-position model. The record is from RNAcentral.